This 78-nucleotide transfer RNA is filed under the name Flavobacteriia bacterium. Its description in RNAcentral is "tRNA-Val". It matches the Rfam family "tRNA". From Rfam's summary of the family: Transfer RNA (tRNA) molecules are approximately 80 nucleotides in length. Their secondary structure includes four short double-helical elements and three loops (D, anti-codon, and T loops). Further hydrogen bonds mediate the characteristic L-shaped molecular structure. tRNAs have two regions of fundamental functional importance: the anti-codon, which is responsible for specific mRNA codon recognition, and the 3' end, to which the tRNAs corresponding amino acid is attached (by aminoacyl-tRNA synthetases). tRNAs cope with the degeneracy of the genetic code in two manners: having more than one tRNA (with a specific anti-codon) for a particular amino acid; and 'wobble' base-pairing, i.e. permitting non-standard base-pairing at the 3rd anti-codon position. The record is from RNAcentral. Lineage: Bacteria; Pseudomonadati; Bacteroidota; Flavobacteriia.
GGGCAAUUAGCUCAGUUGGUUUAGAGCACUACCUUGACAGGGUAGGGGUCACUGGUUCGAAUCCAGUAUUGCUCACGA